RNAcentral lists this ribosomal RNA (460 nucleotides) under uncultured bacterium. Its description in RNAcentral is "partial 16S ribosomal RNA". It matches the Rfam family "Bacterial small subunit ribosomal RNA", at positions 338 to 795 of the family's 1533-position model. The record is from RNAcentral.
CCUACGGUGGGCAGCAGUGAGGAAUAUUGGUCAAUGGGCGCGCGCCUGAACCAGCCAAGUAGCGUGAAGGAUGACUGCCCUACGGGUUGUAACCUUCUUUUGUAAAGGAAUAAAGUGAGGCACUUGUGCCUUGUUGUGUGUACUUUAUGAAUAAGGAUCGGCUAACUCCGUGCCAGCAGCCGCGGUAAUACGGAGGAUCCGAGCGUUAUCCGGAUUUAUUGGGUUUAAAUGGAGCGUAGAUGGGUUGUUAAGUCAGUUGUGAAAGUUUGGGGCUCAACCGUAAAAUUGCAAUUGAUACUGGCAGUCUUGAGUACAGUUGAGGUAGGCGGAAUGCGUGGUGUAGCGGUGAAAUGCUUAGAUAUCACGAAGAACUCCGAUUGCGAAGGCAGCUUACUAAACUGCCACUGACAUUGAUGCUCGAAAGUGUGGGUAUCAAACAGGAGUAGAUACCCGGGUAGUC